GACGAACGCUGGCGGCGUGCCUAACACAUGCAAGUCGAGCGGAGACAGGGACUUCGGUUUCUGUUUUAGCGGCGGACGGGUGAGUAACGCGUGAGCAACCUUUCUCUCAGCGGGGAAUAACACAGGGAAACUUGUACUAAUACCGCAUAAGACCACAGAGGGGCAUCCUUCAGGGGUCAAAGAUUUAUCACUGAGAGGUGGGCUCGCGUCUGAUUAGCUAGAUGGCGGGGUAACGGCCCACCAUGGCGACGAUCAGUAGCCGGUCUGAGAGGAUGAACGGCCACAUUGGGACUGAGAUACGGCCCAGACUCCUACGGGAGGCAGCAGUGGGGAAUAUUGGGCAAUGGGGGGAAACCCUGACCCAGCAACGCCGCGUGAAGGAAGAAGGCUUUCGGGUUGUAAACUUCUUUUACCAGGGACGAAGGACGUGACGGUACCUGGAGAAAAAGCAACGGCUAACUACGUG
This 466-nucleotide ribosomal RNA is filed under the name uncultured bacterium. Its description in RNAcentral is "bacterial SSU rRNA". It matches the Rfam family "Bacterial small subunit ribosomal RNA", at positions 28 to 507 of the family's 1533-position model. The record is from RNAcentral.